Molecule: ribosomal RNA, 451 nt
Filed under: uncultured soil bacterium
Lineage: Bacteria
Description: bacterial SSU rRNA
Rfam family: Bacterial small subunit ribosomal RNA
Source: RNAcentral
AGGACGAACGCUGGCGGCGUGCUUAACACAUGCAAGUCGAGCGGUAAGGCCCUUUCGGGGGUACACGAGCGGCGAACGGGUGGGUAACACGUGAGCAAUCUGCCCUUCACUUCGGGAUAAGCCUCGGAAACGGGGUCUAAUACCGGAUAUGACCGCGCUACGCAUGUGGUGUGGUGGAAAGUUCUGGCGGUGGAGGAUGAGCUCGCGGCCUAUCAGCUUGUUGGUGGGUAAUGGCCUACCAAGGCUUCGACGGGUAGCCGGCCUGAGAGGGUGACCGGCCACACUGGGACUGAGACACGGCCCAGACCUCCUACGGGAGGCAGCAGUGGGAAUAGUUGGACAAUGGGCGAAAGCCUGAUCCAGCAACGCCGCGUGAGGAUGACGGCCUUCGGGUUGUAAACCGUCUUUCAGCGACCGACGAAGCGAGAGUCGACGGUAGGCGCAGAAGAAG